AUUGAACGCUGGCGGCAUGCCUUACACAUGCAAGUCGAACGGCAGCACGGGUGCUUGCACCUGGUGGCGAGUGGCGAACGGGUGAGUAAUACAUCGGAACAUGUCCUGUAGUGGGGGAUAGCCCGGCGAAAGCCGGAUUAAUACCGCAUACGAUCUACGGAUGAAAGCGGGGGACCUUCGGGCCUCGCGCUAUAGGGUUGGCCGAUGGCUGAUUAGCUAGUUGGUGGGGUAAAGGCCUACCAAGGCGACGAUCAGGAGCUGGUCUGAGAGGGCGACCAGCCACCCUGGGACUGAGACACGGCCCCGACUCCUACGGGAGGCAGCAGUGGGGAAUUUUGGACAAUGGGCGAAAGCCUGAUCCAGCAAUGCCGCGUGUGUGAAGAAGGCCUUCGGGUUGUAAAGCACUUUUGUCCGGAAAGAACUCCUUGGCCCUAAUACGGUCGGGGGAUGACGGUACCGGAAGAAUAAGCACCGGCUAACUACGUG
RNAcentral lists this ribosomal RNA (486 nucleotides) under uncultured bacterium. RNAcentral's name for it is "partial 16S ribosomal RNA". It matches the Rfam family "Bacterial small subunit ribosomal RNA", at positions 30 to 507 of the family's 1533-position model. The record is from RNAcentral.